UACGAAGGGGGCGAGCGUUGUUCGGAUUUACUGGGUGUAAAGGGAGCGUAGACGGUGAUGUAAGUCAGGGGUGAAAUCCCGGGGCUCAACCCCGGAACUGCCUUUGAUACUGGGUGUCUCGAGUCCGGAAGAGGUGAGUGGAAUUCCGAGUGUAGAGGUGAAAUUCGUAGAUAUUGGGAAGAACACCGGUGGCGAAGGCGGCUCACUGGCUCAUUACUGACGCUCAGGCGCGAUAGCGUGGGGAUCAAACAGG
This 253-nucleotide ribosomal RNA is filed under the name uncultured bacterium. RNAcentral describes it as "partial 16S ribosomal RNA". It matches the Rfam family "Bacterial small subunit ribosomal RNA", at positions 524 to 776 of the family's 1533-position model. The record is from RNAcentral.